Gopherus evgoodei (Goodes thornscrub tortoise) is the source of this 249-nucleotide long non-coding RNA. RefSeq lists it as uncharacterized. NCBI's taxonomy places the organism in Eukaryota, Metazoa, Chordata, Testudines, Testudinidae. The record is from RefSeq and is a predicted model, not a curated record. The transcript has 3 exons.
GUACCAGUGUUGUAGGACUAAGUGCCGACUCCAUGAGGAGCUGCUUCAAUCGAAAGUCCCGCUCCCUCUUCAUCCUUGGUUUAAAGGACUUGCAAAUGCGGCACUUAUCAGGAAGGUGGGAUUCCCCAUGGCACUUGAGGCAGGAGUCGUGGGGAUCCCCUAUUGGCAUUGGCUUUUGGCACGCUGAGCACGGUGUGAAUCCCGGUGCCUUGGGCAUGGGCCCGCACCGAGGUGGAGGAAAGGGGCUAA